GUCUACAGCCAUACCACCCUGAAUGCAUCCGAUCUCAUCUGACCUCAGAAGCUAAGCAGGGUCGGGCCUGGUUAGUACUUGGAUGGGAGAAUUGAACCCUGGCCUUCCGGCUUUGCAGGCA
RNAcentral lists this ribosomal RNA (121 nucleotides) under Jaculus jaculus (lesser Egyptian jerboa). Lineage: Eukaryota; Metazoa; Chordata; Mammalia; Rodentia; Dipodidae. The record is from RNAcentral.